GACGAACGCUGGCGGCGUGCUUAACACAUGCAAGUCGAACGGAAAGACCCUGCUUUUGUGGGGUGCUCGAGUGGCGAACGGGUGAGUAACACGUGAGUAACCUGCCCUUUACUUUGGGAUAACUUCAUUAAACUGGGGCGAAUACCGGAUAUGAGCUCCUGCUGCAUGGUGGUGGUGGUAAAGUUUCGGCGUUUGGGGAUGGACUCGCGGCUUAUCAGCUUGUUGGUGGGGUAGUGGCUUACCAAGGCUUUGACGGGUAGCCGGCCUGAGAGGGUGACCGGCCCCAUUGGGACUGAGAUACGGGCAAGACUGCUACGGGAGGCAGCAGUGGGGAAUAUUGCACAAUGGGCGGAAGCCUGAUGCAGCAACGCCGCGUGCGGGAUGACGGCCUUCGGGUUGUAACCCGCUUUCGCCUGUGACGAAGCGUGAGUGACGGUAAUGGGUAAAGAAGCACCGGCUAACUACGUG
RNAcentral lists this ribosomal RNA (468 nucleotides) under uncultured bacterium. RNAcentral describes it as "partial 16S ribosomal RNA". It matches the Rfam family "Bacterial small subunit ribosomal RNA", at positions 28 to 507 of the family's 1533-position model. The record is from RNAcentral.